Molecule: transfer RNA, 128 nt
Filed under: Caudoviricetes sp.
Lineage: Duplodnaviria; Heunggongvirae; Uroviricota; Caudoviricetes
Description: tRNA-Ser
Rfam family: tRNA
About the family: Transfer RNA (tRNA) molecules are approximately 80 nucleotides in length.
Source: RNAcentral
GCUUUGGUGGCGGAAUUGGUAGACGCUAAAUUAACUGCAUUGGAGUGUGACGGAACUCCACGUUAAAUAAUAAAACGUUUCGAGACAGGAGUGUCUGGCGAUUGCAGGUUCGAAUCCUGCCCAAAGCA